Molecule: ribosomal RNA, 200 nt
Filed under: uncultured bacterium
Lineage: Bacteria
Description: partial 16S ribosomal RNA
Rfam family: Bacterial small subunit ribosomal RNA
Source: RNAcentral
AGAGUUUGAUCCUGGCUCAGGACGAACGCUGGCGGCGUGCUUAACACAUGCAAGUCGAACGAGAUCCUUCGGGGUCUAGUGGCGAACGGGUGAGUAACACGUGAGCAACCUGCCCUUGGCUCUGGGAUAGCCUCCGGAAACGGGGAUUAAUACCGGACAGGACCGCGGAAGGCAUCUUCCGGGGUGGAAAGUUUUUCGGC